This 468-nucleotide ribosomal RNA is filed under the name uncultured bacterium. Its description in RNAcentral is "partial 16S ribosomal RNA". It matches the Rfam family "Bacterial small subunit ribosomal RNA", at positions 28 to 507 of the family's 1533-position model. The record is from RNAcentral.
GACGAACGCUGGCGGCGGGCUUAACACAUGCAAGUCGAACGGAAAGGCCCUGCUUUUGUGGGGUGCUCGAGUGGCGAACGUGUGAGUAACCCGUGAGUAACCUUCCCUUGACUUUGGGAUAACUUCAGGAAACUGGGGCUAAUACCGGAUAGGAGCUCCUGCUGCAUGGUGGGGGUUGGAAAGUUUCGGCGGUUGGGGAUGGACUCGCGGCUUAUCAGCUUGUUGGUGGGGUAGUGGCUUACCAAGGCUUUGACGGGUAGCCGGCCUGAGAGGGUGACCGGCCACAUUGGGACUGAGAUACGGACCAGACUCCUACGGGAGGCAGCAGUGGGGAAUAUUGCACAAUGGGCGGAAGCCUGAUGAAGCAACGCCGCGUGCGGGAUGACGGCCUUCGGGUUGUAAACCGCUUUCGCCUGUGACGAAGCGUGAGUGACGGUAAUGGGUAAAGAAGCACCGGCUAACUACGUG